Molecule: ribosomal RNA, 2904 nt
Filed under: Escherichia coli
Lineage: Bacteria; Pseudomonadati; Pseudomonadota; Gammaproteobacteria; Enterobacterales; Enterobacteriaceae
Description: 23S ribosomal RNA
Rfam family: Bacterial large subunit ribosomal RNA
Source: RNAcentral
GGUUAAGCGACUAAGCGUACACGGUGGAUGCCCUGGCAGUCAGAGGCGAUGAAGGACGUGCUAAUCUGCGAUAAGCGUCGGUAAGGUGAUAUGAACCGUUAUAACCGGCGAUUUCCGAAUGGGGAAACCCAGUGUGUUUCGACACACUAUCAUUAACUGAAUCCAUAGGUUAAUGAGGCGAACCGGGGGAACUGAAACAUCUAAGUACCCCGAGGAAAAGAAAUCAACCGAGAUUCCCCCAGUAGCGGCGAGCGAACGGGGAGCAGCCCAGAGCCUGAAUCAGUGUGUGUGUUAGUGGAAGCGUCUGGAAAGGCGCGCGAUACAGGGUGAUAGCCCCGUACACAAAAAUGCACAUGCUGUGAGCUCGAUGAGUAGGGCGGGACACGUGGUAUCCUGUCUGAAUAUGGGGGGACCAUCCUCCAAGGCUAAAUACUCCUGACUGACCGAUAGUGAACCAGUACCGUGAGGGAAAGGCGAAAAGAACCCCGGCGAGGGGAGUGAAAAAGAACCUGAAACCGUGUACGUACAAGCAGUGGGAGCACGCUUAGGCGUGUGACUGCGUACCUUUUGUAUAAUGGGUCAGCGACUUAUAUUCUGUAGCAAGGUUAACCGAAUAGGGGAGCCGAAGGGAAACCGAGUCUUAACUGGGCGUUAAGUUGCAGGGUAUAGACCCGAAACCCGGUGAUCUAGCCAUGGGCAGGUUGAAGGUUGGGUAACACUAACUGGAGGACCGAACCGACUAAUGUUGAAAAAUUAGCGGAUGACUUGUGGCUGGGGGUGAAAGGCCAAUCAAACCGGGAGAUAGCUGGUUCUCCCCGAAAGCUAUUUAGGUAGCGCCUCGUGAAUUCAUCUCCGGGGGUAGAGCACUGUUUCGGCAAGGGGGUCAUCCCGACUUACCAACCCGAUGCAAACUGCGAAUACCGGAGAAUGUUAUCACGGGAGACACACGGCGGGUGCUAACGUCCGUCGUGAAGAGGGAAACAACCCAGACCGCCAGCUAAGGUCCCAAAGUCAUGGUUAAGUGGGAAACGAUGUGGGAAGGCCCAGACAGCCAGGAUGUUGGCUUAGAAGCAGCCAUCAUUUAAAGAAAGCGUAAUAGCUCACUGGUCGAGUCGGCCUGCGCGGAAGAUGUAACGGGGCUAAACCAUGCACCGAAGCUGCGGCAGCGACGCUGAUGCGUUGUUGGGUAGGGGAGCGUUCUGUAAGCCUGCGAAGGUGUGCUGUGAGGCAUGCUGGAGGUAUCAGAAGUGCGAAUGCUGACAUAAGUAACGAUAAAGCGGGUGAAAAGCCCGCUCGCCGGAAGACCAAGGGUUCCUGUCCAACGUUAAUCGGGGCAGGGUGAGUCGACCCCUAAGGCGAGGCCGAAAGGCGUAGUCGAUGGGAAACAGGUUAAUAUUCCUGUACUUGGUGUUACUGCGAAGGGGGGACGGAGAAGGCUAUGUUGGCUGGGCGACGGUUGUCCCGGUUUAAGCGUGUAGGCUGGUUUUCCAGGCAAAUCCGGAAAAUCAAGGCUGAGGCGUGAUGACGAGGCACUACGGUGCUGAAGCAACAAAUGCCCUGCUUCCAGGAAAAGCCUCUAAGCAUCAGGUAACAUCAAAUCGUACCCCAAACCGACACAGGUGGUCAGGUAGAGAAUACCAAGGCGCUUGAGAGAACUCGGGUGAAGGAACUAGGCAAAAUGGUGCCGUAACUUCGGGAGAAGGCACGCUGAUAUGUAGGUGAGGUCCCUCGCGGAUGGAGCUGAAAUCAGUCGAAGAUACCAGCUGGCUGCAACUGUUUAUUAAAAACACAGCACUGUGCAAACACGAAAGUGGACGUAUACGGUGUGACGCCUGCCCGGUGCCGGAAGGUUAAUUGAUGGGGUUAGCGCAAGCGAAGCUCUUGAUCGAAGCCCCGGUAAACGGCGGCCGUAACUAUAACGGUCCUAAGGUAGCGAAAUUCCUUGUCGGGUAAGUUCCGACCUGCACGAAUGGCGUAAUGAUGGCCAGGCUGUCUCCACCCGAGACUCAGUGAAAUUGAACUCGCUGUGAAGAUGCAGUGUACCCGCGGCAAGACGGAAAGACCCCGUGAACCUUUACUAUAGCUUGACACUGAACAUUGAGCCUUGAUGUGUAGGAUAGGUGGGAGGCUUGGAAGUGUGGACGCCAGUCUGCAUGGAGCCGACCUUGAAAUACCACCCUUUAAUGUUUGAUGUUCUAACGUUGACCCGUAAUCCGGGUUGCGGACAGUGUCUGGUGGGUAGUUUGACUGGGGCGGUCUCCUCCUAAAGAGUAACGGAGGAGCACGAAGGUUGGCUAAUCCUGGUCGGACAUCAGGAGGUUAGUGCAAUGGCAUAAGCCAGCUUGACUGCGAGCGUGACGGCGCGAGCAGGUGCGAAAGCAGGUCAUAGUGAUCCGGUGGUUCUGAAUGGAAGGGCCAUCGCUCAACGGAUAAAAGGUACUCCGGGGAUAACAGGCUGAUACCGCCCAAGAGUUCAUAUCGACGGCGGUGUUUGGCACCUCGAUGUCGGCUCAUCACAUCCUGGGGCUGAAGUAGGUCCCAAGGGUAUGGCUGUUCGCCAUUUAAAGUGGUACGCGAGCUGGGUUUAGAACGUCGUGAGACAGUUCGGUCCCUAUCUGCCGUGGGCGCUGGAGAACUGAGGGGGGCUGCUCCUAGUACGAGAGGACCGGAGUGGACGCAUCACUGGUGUUCGGGUUGUCAUGCCAAUGGCACUGCCCGGUAGCUAAAUGCGGAAGAGAUAAGUGCUGAAAGCAUCUAAGCACGAAACUUGCCCCGAGAUGAGUUCUCCCUGACCCUUUAAGGGUCCUGAAGGAACGUUGAAGACGACGACGUUGAUAGGCCGGGUGUGUAAGCGCAGCGAUGCGUUGAGCUAACCGGUACUAAUGAACCGUGAGGCUUAACCUU